This is a long non-coding RNA of Saimiri boliviensis boliviensis (Bolivian squirrel monkey), 462 nucleotides long. RefSeq lists it as uncharacterized. The record is from RefSeq and is a predicted model, not a curated record. NCBI's taxonomy places the organism in Eukaryota, Metazoa, Chordata, Mammalia, Primates, Cebidae.
UCAAAGCACUCCAAUUAAAACAUAGAAACUAUGGAAAAUUAUCUAGUAAACAUGCUGAUUAUGUCCUAAACCUGAUCACUUGUCUCAAAAUUUAGAAAGUUAAUGGCUGACAAUUCAGCGGCCAUUCUGAACUGGAAAUUGUAUGUUAGGGCUAUGAUAGAAGAAAGAAAGAAAUUAGAUCUCUAUGCCCCCAGGGUAUCUCUAUACCAGCCUGGAAUGCCUAUCUCCAAACCUCCUUUACAUAAAACAGAAAUAGUCUAUCACCUUAAAAUCUCUGUUACUCUAGAUUUUUUCAUUAUGAGCAGCUAAAAUGAAUCUUACUUGAUACAGCGUGAGUGUUCAUGGAUUAAGACAUUGUUUGAUAAGAGGAGAAAGGAAAAAAUACAAAUUGUACUGGCCCUGACAGACAAUGAAGGCUGAAGCCAAAUUAAUUAAACAGCAAACUCAAACACAAAGAACAAA